Molecule: transfer RNA, 65 nt
Filed under: Dipodomys ordii (Ord's kangaroo rat)
Lineage: Eukaryota; Metazoa; Chordata; Mammalia; Rodentia; Heteromyidae
Rfam family: tRNA
About the family: Transfer RNA (tRNA) molecules are approximately 80 nucleotides in length. Their secondary structure includes four short double-helical elements and three loops (D, anti-codon, and T loops). Further hydrogen bonds mediate the characteristic L-shaped molecular structure. tRNAs have two regions of fundamental functional importance: the anti-codon, which is responsible for specific mRNA codon recognition, and the 3' end, to which the tRNAs corresponding amino acid is attached (by aminoacyl-tRNA synthetases). tRNAs cope with the degeneracy of the genetic code in two manners: having more than one tRNA (with a specific anti-codon) for a particular amino acid; and 'wobble' base-pairing, i.e. permitting non-standard base-pairing at the 3rd anti-codon position.
Source: Rfam by way of RNAcentral
GGUGGCUCAGUGGUAGAGUGCUUGCCUUGCAGGUAUGAAGCCCUGGGUUCAAUUCCUCAGCACCA